UACGAAGGGGGCUAGCGUUGUUCGGAAUUACUGGGCGUAAAGCGCGCGCAGGCGGCUAUCCAAGUCAGUGGUGAAAGCCCGGAGCUCAACUCCGGAAUUGCCAUUGAAACUGUUUAGCUUGAGUACGAGAGAGGUGAGUGGAAUUCCCAGUGUAGAGGUGAAAUUCGUAGAUAUUGGGAAGAACACCGGUGGCGAAGGCGGCUCACUGGCUCGUUACUGACGCUCAGGCGCGACAGCGUGGGGAUCAAACAGG
Molecule: ribosomal RNA, 253 nt
Filed under: uncultured bacterium
Lineage: Bacteria
Description: partial 16S ribosomal RNA
Rfam family: Bacterial small subunit ribosomal RNA
Source: RNAcentral